AGUGAACGCUGGCGGUAGGCCUAACACAUGCAAGUCGAACGGCAGCACAGUAAGAGCUUGCUCUUACGGGUGGCGAGUGGCGGACGGGUGAGGAAUACAUCGGAAUCUACUUUUUCGUGGGGGAUAACGUAGGGAAACUUACGCUAAUACCGCAUACGACCUACGGGUGAAAGCAGGGGAUCUUCGGACCUUGCGCGAUUGAAUGAGCCGAUGUCGGAUUAGCUAGUUGGCGGGGUAAAGGCCCACCAAGUCGACGAUCCGUAGCUGGUCUGAGAGGAUGAUCAGCCACACGGGAACGGAGACACGGUCCAGACUCCUACGGGAGGCAGCAGUGGGGAAUAUUGGACAAUGGGCGCAAGCCUGAUCCAGCCAUACCGCGUGGGUGAAGAAGGCCUUCGGGUUGUAAAGCCCUUUUGUUGGGAAAGAAAAGCAGCAGGUUAAUACCCCGCUGUUCUGACGGUACCCAAAGAAUAAGCACCGGCUAACUUCGUG
This 492-nucleotide ribosomal RNA is filed under the name uncultured bacterium. RNAcentral's name for it is "partial 16S ribosomal RNA". It matches the Rfam family "Bacterial small subunit ribosomal RNA", at positions 29 to 507 of the family's 1533-position model. The record is from RNAcentral.